GCCCAGGUAGCUCAGCUGGUAGAGCAGGGGACUGAAAAUCCCCGUGUCGGCAGUUCGAUUCUGUCCCUGGGCACCA
This 76-nucleotide transfer RNA is filed under the name Roseospira goensis. Its description in RNAcentral is "tRNA-Phe". It matches the Rfam family "tRNA". From Rfam's summary of the family: Transfer RNA (tRNA) molecules are approximately 80 nucleotides in length. Their secondary structure includes four short double-helical elements and three loops (D, anti-codon, and T loops). Further hydrogen bonds mediate the characteristic L-shaped molecular structure. tRNAs have two regions of fundamental functional importance: the anti-codon, which is responsible for specific mRNA codon recognition, and the 3' end, to which the tRNAs corresponding amino acid is attached (by aminoacyl-tRNA synthetases). tRNAs cope with the degeneracy of the genetic code in two manners: having more than one tRNA (with a specific anti-codon) for a particular amino acid; and 'wobble' base-pairing, i.e. permitting non-standard base-pairing at the 3rd anti-codon position. Lineage: Bacteria; Pseudomonadati; Pseudomonadota; Alphaproteobacteria; Rhodospirillales; Rhodospirillaceae. The record is from RNAcentral.